RNAcentral lists this ribosomal RNA (497 nucleotides) under uncultured bacterium. RNAcentral describes it as "partial 16S ribosomal RNA". It matches the Rfam family "Bacterial small subunit ribosomal RNA", at positions 28 to 507 of the family's 1533-position model. The record is from RNAcentral.
GAUGAACGCUGGCGGCGUGCCUAAUACAUGCAAGUCGAGCGAACAGACGAGGAGCUUGCUCCCCUGACGUUAGCGGCGGACGGGUGAGUAACACGUGGAUAACCUACCUAUAAGACUGGGAUAACUUCGGGAAACCGUAGCUAAUACCGGAUAAUAUAUUGAACCGCAUGGUUCAAUAGUGAAAGACGGUUUUGCUGUCACUUAUAGAUGGAUCCGCGGCCCAUUAGCUAGUUGGUAAGGUAACCGCUUACCAAGGCGACGAUGCGUAGACGCCCCGAGAGGGUGGAUCGGCACCCGGGGAGAGAGGCACGGACCCGACUCCGAAGGGGGGAAGGGGUGGGGAAUUCUCGCGAAGGGGGCAAAGGCUUAACGAGGCAAGCCGGGGUGAGGAUGAAGGAUUUAUGGUUGGAAAAUGCUUUUGUACGGGAAGAAAAAAAGGUUUUAUAAACAGGAGGGUUAUGACCGUACCGGAAGAAUAAGCCCCGGCUAAAUUCGUG